GUAGGGAAUAUUGGGCAAUGGAUGCAAGUCUGACCCAGCCAUGCCGCGUGGAGGAAGAAGGUCCUCUGGAUUGUAAACUCCUUUUUUGGGGGAAGAAUAGUUCUCUUGCGAGGGAAUGUGACGGUACCCUAAGAAUAAGCCACGGCUAACUACGUGCCAGCAGCCGCGGUAAUACGUAGGUGGCAAGCGUUGUCCGGAUUUAUUGGGUUUAAAGGGUGCAUAGGUGGUUUGAUAAGUCAGUGGUGAAAGCUGGUUGCUCAACAAUCAAGUUGCCAUUGAUACUGUCGGACUUGAGAGAAGUGGAGGUUCAUGGAAUGGAUGGUGUAGCGGUGAAAUGCAUAGAUAUCAUCCAGAACGUCGAUUGCGAAGGCAGUGGGCUGUACUUUAUCUGACACUGAGGCACGAAAGUGUGGGGAUCAAACAGGAUUAGAAACCCUGGUAGUCC
Molecule: ribosomal RNA, 445 nt
Filed under: uncultured bacterium
Lineage: Bacteria
Description: partial 16S ribosomal RNA
Rfam family: Bacterial small subunit ribosomal RNA
Source: RNAcentral